Heterocephalus glaber (naked mole-rat) is the source of this 45-nucleotide non-coding RNA. The record is from Rfam. Lineage: Eukaryota; Metazoa; Chordata; Mammalia; Rodentia; Bathyergidae.
ACAACGGCUCUUUUCAGAGCCAUUUCCAUAGUCCUAAGAGAUAGU